RNAcentral lists this ribosomal RNA (346 nucleotides) under uncultured bacterium. Its description in RNAcentral is "bacterial SSU rRNA". It matches the Rfam family "Bacterial small subunit ribosomal RNA", at positions 8 to 334 of the family's 1533-position model. The record is from RNAcentral.
AGAGUUUGAUUAUGGCUCAGGAUGAACGCUGGCGGCGUGCUUAACACAUGCAAGUCGAACGAAGCAGCAGAGACAGAAACCUUCGGGCGGAAGACUUUGUUGACUGAGUGGCGGACGGGUGAGUAACGCGUGGGUAACCUGCCUUACACAGGGGGAUAACAGUUAGAAAUGACUGCUAAUACCGCAUAAGACCACAGCACCACAUGGUGCAGGGGUAAAAACUGAGGUGGUGUAAGAUGGGCCCGCGUCUGAUUAGCUAGUUGGUGGGGUAAGAGCCCACCAAGGCGACGAUCAGUAGCCGACCUGAGAGGGUGACCGGCCACAUUGGGACUGAGACACGGCCCAA